Molecule: long non-coding RNA, 992 nt
Organism: Microtus oregoni (creeping vole)
Lineage: Eukaryota; Metazoa; Chordata; Mammalia; Rodentia; Cricetidae
Exons: 3
Source: RefSeq, a predicted model, not a curated record
GCCCCUUCCUUCCGUUUUUCCUAGUGUGUCUGCACAUUUUCCCUUACCUGUUAUUACCCUUCCCCCUCCCAUUAAAAGUGUACCACGUGGGACCACCGCGUGUCUGUGUCUUUCCUCGCGUAACCCUCGUCUAACCCGCAGGAAUUAAGAACAACAGUAUCUAUCCGUCUCUCACCUGCUGCGGUCUCCCACCCACCAAGGGAAUCGGCUGAGCUCUCAGCUGAAAAUGGCUGGAGUUCUACACCCAACAUCAAAUGGUAGGUUCUGGCCAUGCCUCCAUGAGUGUGCAAUCGCUCAACAGUGGUUCUCCCGCAUGGAAACGGCCCAGUACUGGUCAGCCGCUUGCCAAUCGGGCUUAAAGCCCCUUCCUUGGGCCUCCAACUCCAUGUGACCACGUAGGGGUUUGGUUUGUAUCCACCCAUUCUCACGGCCCUGGGACUUUGAGUGACGACUCAAAGCUCAGCUUCCGGGACACUGGAGUUCCAUCUCUGGAUCUUCGCGCCUUACUCAUGGAGACUGCACCACCCGCCCUCGGAUAUCAAGCUACAUAGCUCCCUAUCAUCGGCUUACAUUCUGGUCGUGAUUGUUAGCUGAAAAUGCAGCCUACUUUUUCUGUUUUACUAUCUGCUUUUCGUUCCCGGCACGGUAAUCACACCCAUGCUAAACUGUCCGGUUGCUGCCCACCGGAACCCCUCCGUCUAGUGGGCUCAGCUACAGUUCCCGGUUCUCAACUUGGCAGUAGCUCUGUUUCUACCACUGCUGCCCUGGAUUCUACCAGCCCACUUCCCAACUUUCCAUCAGUCCACUGGGACAAUUGGUGAGACUGUUCCCUUUAUGGCCUAGUGUCUCUGGUGUGACUGCCAUUUCUUGUGCCCCGUUAUCUUGUGGAUGAAUGGAUAAUGGCCCAAGCUGGUUGUUUAUUUUUCCUCCUCACCCGUGGGAAACAGGCUGACAUUUCUAACUUCUACCAGCAUUUGGCUAAAUUUAAAGAA